RNAcentral lists this non-coding RNA (22 nucleotides) under Arabidopsis thaliana (thale cress). The record is from RNAcentral. Lineage: Eukaryota; Viridiplantae; Streptophyta; Magnoliopsida; Brassicales; Brassicaceae.
GGCACGUCUGCCUGGGUGUCAC